RNAcentral lists this ribosomal RNA (736 nucleotides) under Klebsiella pneumoniae. RNAcentral's name for it is "partial 23S ribosomal RNA". It matches the Rfam family "Bacterial large subunit ribosomal RNA", at positions 235 to 1012 of the family's 2925-position model. Lineage: Bacteria; Pseudomonadati; Pseudomonadota; Gammaproteobacteria; Enterobacterales; Enterobacteriaceae. The record is from RNAcentral.
UUCCCCCAGUAGCGGCGAGCGAACGGGGAGCAGCCCAGAGUCUGAAUCAGCUUGUGUGUUAGUGGAACGGUCUGGAAAGUCCGACGGUACAGGGUGAUAGUCCCGUACACCAAAAUGCACAGGUUGUGAACUCGAAGAGUAGGGCGGGACACGUGGUAUCCUGUCUGAAUAUGGGGGGACCAUCCUCCAAGGCUAAAUACUCCUGACUGACCGAUAGUGAACCAGUACCGUGAGGGAAAGGCGAAAAGAACCCCGGCGAGGGGAGUGAAAAAGAACCUGAAACCGUGUACGUACAAGCAGUGGGAGCACCUUCGGGUGUGACUGCGUACCUUUUGUAUAAUGGGUCAGCGACUUAUAUUCUGUAGCAAGGUUAACCGUAUAGGGGAGCCGCAGGGAAACCGAGUCUUAACUGGGCGUUAAGUUGCAGGGUAUAGACCCGAAACCCGGUGAUCUAGCCAUGGGCAGGUUGAAGGUUGGGUAACACUAACUGGAGGACCGAACCGACUAAUGUUGAAAAAUUAGCGGAUGACUUGUGGCUGGGGGUGAAAGGCCAAUCAAACCGGGAGAUAGCUGGUUCUCCCCGAAAGCUAUUUAGGUAGCGCCUCGUGAAUUCAUCUUCGGGGGUAGAGCACUGUUUCGGCUAGGGGGUCAUCCCGACUUACCAACCCGAUGCAAACUACGAAUACCGAAGAAUGUUAUCACGGGAGACACACGGCGGGUGCUAACGUCCGUCGUG